Non-coding RNA from Rattus norvegicus (Norway rat), 3544 nucleotides. The record is from RefSeq and is a predicted model, not a curated record. Lineage: Eukaryota; Metazoa; Chordata; Mammalia; Rodentia; Muridae.
GGGGUUGGGGAUUUAGCUCAGUGGUAGAGCGCUUGCCUAGCAAGCACAAGGCCCUGGGUUCAGUCCCCAGCUCUGGGGUGGGGGAGUGGGAGGGUAGGGGGUAGGGGCAAACAAAAAAAAAACCAUGAAGGCAAGAAGAGGAGGGUGCUUUAGAAAUCCCCCCCUUUUUUUGCACAUUUUCCCCUUGUAAUAUACAGGAAACAGACACAUCUGAAGCAGCCAUUCAGAUCAGGCCACUUCCUUUCCUUUGUAGCAAAUGGAAAUGGGAGUGACACAGCGAGGACACUUCACUCUCAAAAGCAUUUCAUCUAUGUACAGUUUUAAAUAUCUGGGUUUUUAAAAUCUAAGAACAAUAUGCUUAAUACCUUGCAUUAAUAAAAGAGAGAGACUCCACAUAAUGAAUGUAGACUCAGAAGGCGUCAUUUAAUCUAAUUACUAGCUCUUUAAAUUUUAUGUUACUGUCUUACAAGGAAACAGUAUUGAGUCAAAUAUCUACACCUGUGUGUAUGUAAAGCAUAUUCUGUUGCUUGAUUAUGACUUAGAUAUCAAAAAAUGCAGCCACGGUAUGUACUCUAUACAGAAACAAAGUAAUUUACUACUAAUACUAUUCUAGUUGAGCAUGGUGGCACCUGGAUAAUGAGGAGGGAUUGCUACAGGUUCUAAGGUAACCAAGGUCAUGAACUGAAUUCCAGACCAGCCUGAACUAUAGUGCGACACUAACCAAAAAUAUCAAAUGCAAAAAGACAACAAAAUUUAAAUGCAGCAAUACAUACUAAAUUCUGAGGUUUUUCAUUCUUUGGGGAAAAAAAACUUUAAAUACUUGGCAAAUCAGAUGUACAUUAUGAAAAAUAUACAUGCAGAUACACUUCUGAUUUUAGGUGUUGGGGGUGGUCUGAGAGGUGAGAAAAUACCUCUCUCUAUGUACCCACGGCUGCCCUGGAAUUAACUAUGUAUACACCAGGCUGGCCUCAAAUUAGGUAUGCACUGCCAUGGCAGCUGUAUUCUCAGAAAAAGAAAAAAAAAUAGAUUUGUGUUUUGCCUGCAUGUAUGCCUGUAGCCGUAGAGGUCAGAAGAGGGCUGGUUAUUCCCUGGAACUGGAGUUACAGAUGGUUAGGAACUACCAUGUAGGUGGUGGAAAUUGAACCAAGGUCCGCUGCAAGAGCAGCCUGUGCUCUUAAUUGCUUAGCCAUUUCUUCAACUAUUCUUGCCAUGUCAUCUAAUCUUUCCAAAGCCCAAGCUCACUUUGGUAUGAGUUUAUUGCAAGGAAUUUUUUUCAUUCUAUUCAGGUUCCUAUUUUACCUGUGUAGGAUUUGGUUAGGAAACAAGUUUAUAUAGAAACUGAAGGUCAGCAGUAGGAAAAAGUGCACUCUCUUAAAAGCGGAAAUGAUUAAAGGUGACUGAGUAGGUCUGUUGUAUUGAUAGUAUUUGUUCAUUAUUUACAAAGGCAUUCCACAUGUUCUUGAUAGAUAUCCCUCCUGGUGACUUAUUCAUCAAAGCAUAAUUCUCAUAAAUCUUUCUAAUUAUUUAGAAUGAAAGCUUUGUGAAUACAAAAUAGUAAAUGAUGGGAAUGAUGGGAAUGGAUGACAAAUAACAGUUGUUGUUCUGAGUCAGAAUUUACUCCAUAGCCCAUACUAGCUUCAAACUGACAGUGUUUCUGCCUCAGUUUCCCAAGUGCUGCAAUUACAGAUACCUGCCUCCACCCUUAGCUCAGGUGAUAUUUUUAAAUCUAUGUAUAUUUUUUAAUUAAAAUAUAAUUAAAUCAUUCCCCCUUCCCUUUCUUCCCCCCAGCCCCUCCCCUUGUCCCUCUUAAUCCCUUUCAAAUUGAUGGCCUCUUUAUUAUUGUUACACAUAUAUAGAUGCACAUCCACAUAAAUGUAGUCUGCUGCAUUUUUGAUGUUUGUGUGUAUAUGAUUUCAGGGCUGAACACUCUGAAUUGGAUAAUUGUAGGAGAAGCUGAUACUAAAAUCUGGUUCCCUAAUUGGUUCUUGGUUUGGUCAAUAAGGAAGGCAGAAGUCGAUUGCUGGACGAAGGGUAAAGGUCGGACUUCCAGGUCCCAGGAGGAAGAGAAGAGGCACAGCGAAAAAAGUUGUCUUUUGACCAGAUUUUCAAACAAGCAGCAUGAACAACCAAGUAAAACUCUGUGGCACCGUCUGUCAGGCCUGCAGCCUGUCCUGCAAGCAGGGCCAAGGAGGUGGCUGGAGCUGGCUGAUACCUGCAAAGAUGAAUACAUUGAAGAAAAAGAAUAAUUUGAUGAGAUGGAAGUUGAAAUAAUAGGCAAAUGCUUACUUAGAAGGAUGGGGCUGCAUCUUAUAUUCUCUACUGCAAAACACCAACACACCGAGAUGUGCUCUCAGGACAUUAGCAUCUGCAUGUCUGAAAAGAACAAUCUUGAUAUGUGCCCAACACUGGGGUAACAACUGCCACUUAGAAAUAUAAACAGUCUUUAUCUCUUCUAUCAUUUAUCUCUUUUACUCAAAAAAGAAAAUAAUACACAUUUAAAUAAAAUGAUAACAUGAAGUUUAGGCGUGCUACUUCUAGAAGUACUAAUGUCACUGUCAAGACUUAAGGGGAAGACUAUUAGUAAAAACAAGUAUAUCCUUUACUUGAGCUCAAAUAAGGUUCAUUAUAACUAUCCAUCUUUUUUUUUUUUUUAUUAUUCCCCCGAGGGGGUGCACCGUUCCUGGAGGUACUGCAAUACCAGGUCGAUGCGUGGAGUGGACGGAGCAAGCUCCUAUUCCAACUCCUAGUUUCAAAAAUCCAUUUAAUAUAUUGUCCUCGGAUAGAGGACGUAUCAGAUAUUAAACUGAUAAGAACAGAUACUACACUUGAUCUUAGCCAAAAGGCCGAGAAGCGAUAAUAACUAUCCAUCUUUUAAGGUAAAGCUAAUGUAAAAACAACAACAGCCACAAAAAACUCUCGGCUGUCUGGGCAGCCAACAUAACAAAUCUUUGAGUUGUGAGAUUUGUGAUGUGAUGACUUUUCAGUCAAACACUGGCUGAGGGAAAGCCAGCCAAUGUUUUCUACUGAUCUUACCAGAGCAAUCAUUUGCUUUAAUGACAAACUUGGUAGUUAUGAGUAGUUUUAAACAUCAGACCAAUUUGUGUUGGAAAUCUAUGUCUCGUAUCUACUAACUAUAGGACCUGGAAUGAGUUAGCUCUCUGAACCUGGGAGUUUCCUCUUGAGUAGAAUGAAUUCCUUACACAAAGGCAACAGACAAUGUAAGAUAAGAAGUUAACUGCAGUGACUACAUUCUAAAAAGCACAACAGCACUCGAUGAUUAGUAUCUAUAUUCAGGUUAUCAAGAAGAUUGUGUGUGCCCUGCUAAACACAGAACAUAAAAAUGAGCAUUCAAUGGUUCCUACAUUUUAUUCUGGUGCAGGUGCAAACAUAGUCUUUUGCUUGUUUGGUUUUAUUAUUUAUCAUUACUCUGUGUGUGUGUGUGUGUGUGUGUGUGUGUGUGUGUGUGUGUGUGUGUAUGUGUGUGUGUGUGUGUGAGAGAGAGAGAGAGAGAGAGAGAGAGAGAGAGAGAGAGAGAGAGAGAAAA